UCGGGUGGACAGGGAGACAGGUGGUGCAUGGUUGUCGUCAGCUCGUGUCGUGAGAUGUUGGGUUAAGUCCCGCAACGAGCGCAACCCUACGUUUAGUUGCUAACGCGUGAAGGCGAGCACUCUAGACGAACUGCCGUUGACAAAACGGAGGAAGUGGGAUGACGUCAAAUCAUCAUGCCCCUUAUGUUCUGGGCUACACACGUGCUACAAUGGCCGGUACAGACGGACGCAAAGCCGCGAGGUGGAGCAAAUCCUAAAAAGCCGGUCUCAGUUCGGAUUGCAGGCUGCAAUUCGCCUGCAUGAAGUCGGAAUCGCUAGUAAUCGCAGGUCAGCAUACUGCGGUGAAUACGUUCCCGGGCCUU
Molecule: ribosomal RNA, 362 nt
Filed under: uncultured Pelotomaculum sp.
Lineage: Bacteria; Bacillati; Bacillota; Clostridia; Eubacteriales; Desulfotomaculaceae
Description: bacterial SSU rRNA
Rfam family: Bacterial small subunit ribosomal RNA
Source: RNAcentral